UAUAGGAUACUACUUCUAUAAUCCUACUUAACAAAAAGUGUUUGUUGGUAAGCAUACCAUUUUUUUGGAGAAAGAGUUUGUCCAAGAAAGAGAUAGUAGGAGGUCUGUUGAACUUGAGGAAGUUCAAAACCUACAAUCUAUCUAAAACUCACCAAAUGGAUUGCAACCAAAUGUACUCAUUGUUGAGGCAUAGCCACUACACAUACCUCCUCUGCAA
This 217-nucleotide long non-coding RNA is filed under the name Elaeis guineensis (African oil palm). RNAcentral describes it as "long non-coding RNA (EGUI_LNC067425)". The record is from RNAcentral. Lineage: Eukaryota; Viridiplantae; Streptophyta; Magnoliopsida; Arecales; Arecaceae.